Astatotilapia calliptera (eastern happy) is the source of this 3189-nucleotide long non-coding RNA. Lineage: Eukaryota; Metazoa; Chordata; Actinopteri; Cichliformes; Cichlidae. The record is from Ensembl.
AAGAGACUCAAAGAUUACUUACAGAUGGAGAUAUGUCAUUUUGUCCAGGAAAAAUUAACUGAAUGGCAUCUCAGUGAGCUGAUUCACAGAUUUGAAGGACUUGAAUAGAACACAUGAUGAUUCUGCUGACAUGAUGGAAACAAGCGCAGAGCAAGAGGACAGUCCAGAAAUGGAGCCAAACAUUUUUCCUCAACAUUUGGAAUCUUCUUCAGCGUCUGACACAACAGAUGGCAAAGACAGGAUGCAGGACCACAACAUUUAUCCAUUUCAGUUGGAGUCUGCUUCAGCAGUUGACAGAGGCAGUGACACAGUAAGAAGGAAUAUUGAUGUUUCUCCUCAAGUCAUGUUGUUAUCCCAAUAUUAUUUGUGUAUAUAAAACACAUGUUUGUUUGUCUUUUCAGAGUAAUGAACCAAUUUGCUCCUGGGCAACAGUGACACAAGGACAAAGUCCAACCACAUUUACAAUGUUUUACUGUCAAGAGUGUAAAAACUUCAUGGGAAACGAUCCUGAUUCUUGUUGUUCUCACUGUGCCUCUGUGUUCAACAAAGCAAGCAGCAUUCAAAAUGGAAACUUCUUUCUGUACUCAUCCCUGAAAGACCUUCUGAAAGGUAUCCUUGAGAACCACAGCGCUGAGUUGUUACCUAAAACAGUUAAAGAUGAGCAUGAUAACAUCAAAGAUGUGAUGGAUGGGAUGAUGUACCAGAAUCUCCUCAGAGAGGGUAAACUAGCUGCAGAUGAUCUCACACUGACAUGGAAUUUUGAUGAAGUACCAAUUUUUAGCACCACCAGAUACUCAAUUUGGCCCCUUCAGUUUGUUAUUAAUGAACUUCCUUACACACAAAGACAGGAAAAUAUGAUAGUUGCUGGAUUUUGGUUUGGCCAAGGAAAACCUCAUAUGAACACAUUUCUGAAACCAUUUGUGGAUGAAUGUUGUGAUUUAGCCCAAAAUCCAUUUCAGUGGAGAGACAGCAGAGGCACUCUUCAUUCAUCAAAAGUCUUCUGCUUGGUUUGCUCCUCUGACGCUGUGGCGAGGCCACUUCUCCGGAAUUGCAAACAAUUCAAUGGAGAAUAUGGUUGUGACUGGUGUUUACACCCUGGCACAGUGGUACCAAAAGGCUCUGGCUCUAUGAGGUCAUACCGAUAUGAUGAAACUAAACAAGCAUCAAGAUCAAAAAAUAUGUUUGUUGAAAACACCUCAGAGUAUGGUGUAAAAGGAAUGUCCUUACUUUCCAGACUUCCUUUGUUUGACAUUGUGUUUGGAUUUGUACCAGAAUAUAUGCACUCAGUUUUAGUUGGUGUGACUAAGCAACUUAUUGGAUUGUGGCUGAACUCAGAGAACUCCAAGAAAGACUGGUAUGUAGGUCAACAGAUUUCACAGAUGGACUCUUAUCUCUUAAAGCCUCCAUCAGAAAUGAGCAGAUCUCUACAGUCACUGAAGGGUCGGGACUCUUGGAAAGCAUCUGACUGGCGAGCUUUCCUUUUAUUUUAUGCUGUUAGUGUCCUACCAGGCAUCCUUCAGCCUUCAUUUCUCCAGCAUUUUUUUUGUUUGUCGAUCAGCAUUCACAUUCUGCUACAAGAAUCAGUCUCCCAAAAUGACCUUCAGCUGGCCCAUGAGAACUUGGUACUCUUUGUUAGAAACAUGGAAGAACUCUAUGGUGAAGAAAACGUUUCAUUCAACUGCCAUCAGUUGAUCCACUUAGCUGACUGUGUGCGUAACUGGGGGCCUCUCUGGGCAACAUCAGCAUUCAGUUUUGAGAGGAACAGUGCAAAUUUAAGGGCACUGCUUAGCAACAUAAACUACAAUCCUCAAAAAAUUCAAGACAAGUUUCUCCGUUGGCAGCGCCUGCCGAGUCACCUUCGCUCCCUUGUUUCUAACGGAAAUUCUCCGUUAGCCAGAAUUUCACCAGUAAAUGAAACCACUGAUUGUUACGAUCUGCUUGGAAAUUCACGGCAUCUGGAUAUCACAGGAUCCAUAAAACUAGCAAUAGAAGAGCUCUUAAAUCGACCUGUUUCAUUCAGAUCAGUGGAAGCCUUUGACAGCUUCAUCAACAGAAAUACUGUUUACUCUGUAAACCAUGAAGAGACAAGAGACUGUGUCAUAAAACUCAAGAAUGGCUGCUAUGGAGAAAUACAGUUCAUCGUCAGGUUUAAAGAGAACUGUGUUUGCACAUCCAACUGUGUGUGCUCGGCUAUUUCAGUCAUUGUGGUCCAGCUGUUUUAUAUCAAACGUGAUGCAGAGGACAGCAGGAUGAUUCCUGACAGUGCAUCAAGGACUAUCUUUGUGGAAGUGGAAAGGACAACUCAGCUCAAAGCCUUCUUCUUGAGGGAUGUUAGGUGUAAAUGCAUGUAUGUGGAUGGUUGGCUGGUGACUUUACCAAACUCAUAUGAAAGAUAUUAAAGUUCCAGCACAGCUAAGGUGCUUUCUCUGUCUUGUAUAUCAUGGCACAUGGCUGUUUUUACUACAGUGAAAAUCUUGGAAAAAUGAAUGAUGAUGAAGUUUUUUCAAAGGAGUUUGGAGUCAUUUUGUUCAUAUGUGUGCGAGAUCUGUGGCUUACGUUUUCUUUUGGUGUGACAGUGUGGACAUAAUGUAGUCAGUGUAAUGUAGGAUUAUAUCACUCAGUACUGUAUGUGUAUUAUCUGUAUAUGGAGGAAAUUAUGGAGUGAUUUGUAAACAGCCAAAAGCUUGCCUUUCCCAACUUUGUAUUCACUACGUAUUUAUCAUACAUGUCAGUUUACCUCUAUUCAAACUGAAAUGCAAAUUAUUGUGACACAUAAACAUUUUGUGAAUUAACGCUAAAAAUCCGGGGUGAGUGGAUCAAUGUGGUUUACUGCAUCCUGAUACAGAUUGCUAUUACUGAGAUAACAGAUCAUAAAGCUUCAUAUUACCUCAUAUUAUUGUGUAAUGGCUGAUGAGACUUAUUCUGUUUAAAUCUGCAAUGUGUGCAAGUCUAUUGAAUAUAAUACAGAUUGAUUUGCUCAAGAAUGUUUGUAUCCUGCUACAUAAAAAUGAUUAUAAUUAAAGUCUUAUUACUUAAAUAUGCCUGAAAAAUCUGUUUGGCCUCCUUCUUCACUCUGGAUUUGUGCUGCUAUUCAGAGUCAAUUCAAAUUACUCAAAUUUGUUCGUUCCUAAAAAAGAAAAAAGGAUGUGUAAAUACAGUAAAUGAUGUUUAGAGAUUUUUGAAAAAUAA